GUGGGCGCUCGCUCAUCACUAGAAUCGCUCUUAGCCGUUCACCUGUCACCCCAACCAACAGCAAACCUCUUCUCCUUUCUGCUCUUCUUUCUUCACACCAUUUCACAUGCUCCAUUCCCUUUUCUGUUCCUCCUAGCACCAGGGAGCGAGGGGAUCAAAGCAAAGGCCCAACAAGCUACCUGCACAACAAGACGCCAAUGGUGAAGAUCUGCUGCAUCGGCGCGGGGUACGUCGUACGCCAACUCGACUACCGGCGCAUGUUCGACGCCAUGCACAAGCCGGCCUUCGUCUUCGACGGCCGCAACGUCGUCGACGUCGCAAUGCUCCGGGAGAUCGGCUUCGUCGUCUACUCCAUCGGGAAGCCGCUCGACGACUGGCUGUCUGGCUCAAGGACAUGCCAGCCGUCGCCUGAUAUAUAUGAUCCAUCCGGCUUACUCAUUUUAUUUCCUCGUUUGCCUGAUAGUGUUACGUUAGCUCUGUUUCUCAUCAGUUUCAUUUUUUUUCAGAACUUAAACGUUAGCUCGGUAUGCAUUUCUUCGUUGGCUUUUUUAAUUAUGUACACGAUGUUUAUUUAGCCACAUUCUUUGUUUGCUUCUUUUAAUUUUUGGGGUACUUUCUUAGAUAUGGAGAUAUUUGCGUAGUACUAAUUAAUAAGCUUUGCUUCAUUUA
This is a long non-coding RNA of Panicum virgatum (switchgrass), 669 nucleotides long. RefSeq lists it as uncharacterized. The record is from RefSeq and is a predicted model, not a curated record. The transcript has 2 exons. Lineage: Eukaryota; Viridiplantae; Streptophyta; Magnoliopsida; Poales; Poaceae.